UCCAGAGGUCUCAAGCGUUGUUCGGAUUCAUUGGGCGUCAAGGGUGCGUAGGCGGCGCGGUAAGUCGGGUGUGAAAUCUCGGAGCUUAACUCCGAAACUGCAUUCGAUACUGCCGUGCUUGAGGACUGGAGAGGAGACUGGAAUUUACGGUGUAGCGGUGAAAUGCGUAGAUAUCGUAAGGAAGACCAGUGGCGAAGGCGGGUCUCUGGACAGUUCCUGACGCUGAGGCACGAAGGUCAGGGGAGCAAACGGG
RNAcentral lists this ribosomal RNA (253 nucleotides) under uncultured bacterium. RNAcentral describes it as "partial 16S ribosomal RNA". It matches the Rfam family "Bacterial small subunit ribosomal RNA", at positions 524 to 776 of the family's 1533-position model. The record is from RNAcentral.